GUCUUUUAGUGAAUUAUUUAAGGUUUGGCCUGCUCCAUGAUAAAUUAAAUAGCCGCAGUAUUUUGACUGUGCAAAGGUAGCAUAAUCAUUAGUUUUUUAAUUGAAAGCUGGAAUGAAUGGUCGGAUGAGAAAACUACUGUCUCACUGUAAUUUUUAUUUGAAUUUUAUUUUUAAGUCAAAAAGCUUAAAUUUAAUAAAAAGACGAGAAGACCCUAUAGAGUUUAAUAUAUAGGCAGAAUAAUAUUUAGUGGGUUUUACUUUGAUUAUUUAAUUAUAUAUUUUGUUGGGGUGACAUAAGAAUUUAUUAAACUUCUUAUAAUUUUAACAUUGAUUAAUGAAUAAUUGAUCCUGAUAUUUGGAUUUAAAGAAUAAAUUACCUUAGGGAUAACAGCGUAAUUCUUUUGGAGAGUUCUAAUCAAUAAAAGGGAUUGCGACCUCGAUGUUGGAUUAAAAUUAAAUUUUGGUGCAGAAGCUAGGAUUUUGAGUCUGUUCGACUCUUAAAAUUUUACAUGAUCUGAGUUUAAACCGGCGUGAGCCAGGUUGGUUUCUAUCUUUUAUAGUUAAAAUAUUUUAGUACGAAAGGACCAAAUAUUUAAAUAAUAUUUUUUGUUUGAAUAUAAUUGUUAUUUUGGCAGAAUAGUGCAAUAGAUUUAGAAUCUUUAAAUGUAAUUACAUUACAAAUAACAAUUUAUUUUUUUGAUUUGUUUUUAUUGUUUAUUUCAAUAGUUGUUUUAGUUGUUUGUGUUUUGGUGGGAGUAGCUUUUUUGACUCUUCUUGAGCGAAAGGUAUU
RNAcentral lists this ribosomal RNA (790 nucleotides) under Pleuropasta reticulata. RNAcentral's name for it is "partial large subunit ribosomal RNA". The stretch from base 1 to 577 matches the Rfam family "Bacterial large subunit ribosomal RNA", at positions 1830 to 2925 of the family's 2925-position model. The record is from RNAcentral. Lineage: Eukaryota; Metazoa; Arthropoda; Insecta; Coleoptera; Meloidae.